GAGCGUAUAGCUCAGUGGUAAAGUGUGUGCUUAGCAUGCCCGAGAUCCUGGGUUCAAUUCCCGGUACCUCCA
Molecule: transfer RNA, 72 nt
Filed under: Camelus bactrianus (Bactrian camel)
Lineage: Eukaryota; Metazoa; Chordata; Mammalia; Artiodactyla; Camelidae
Also listed under: 2 other names
Rfam family: tRNA
About the family: Transfer RNA (tRNA) molecules are approximately 80 nucleotides in length.
Source: Rfam by way of RNAcentral